Molecule: long non-coding RNA, 1057 nt
Organism: Nycticebus coucang (slow loris)
Lineage: Eukaryota; Metazoa; Chordata; Mammalia; Primates; Lorisidae
Exons: 3
Source: RefSeq, a predicted model, not a curated record
UUUCUCCGCAGUGGGUACAGCCUGAGGAUGAAGGAACAGGUUCAGCUGUAAAGAAUGUGAAGCUCUCCCCUCAAAGGGAAGGAGUUCUCAUUUUUUAGCAAGGAGUCUUGAGCUGCCAUGUUAAGAAGUCGGGAUACCUUGCAGGAAAGGCCUCUUGGAGAGGGAGCUGCCCAGCAGUCCCAGAGUUGACAACAGACCAGCUGAGCACUGACUGUAGUCACAGGAAAGGUCCCCUCUGUGUUUAAUAUUUUGUGGACCAGAAGAACCAUCUGUCCAGCUGAGCCCUAGUCAACCCACAAAAGGCCAGAAUCUUACGUUCCACCAACGUGACGGUAUCUCUGGACUUCCCCUUUUGCAAGAUGCAGACAAAAGUACAGAGUGAAAGGCUGAGCUGAUCACAGCAUGAAUGUGGAUGGAAGGUCUCCAAUAUCUCUUACAACCUGGAAGGGUCACUUCCCUAUCUGUGCCUCUCUUGAGUCAGUUGUUGGCUUUUACUAAAGCAAAACCUCUACUUUUUAAGGUUAUUAAUCCCUCCCAAACCUAAAAGUAAUUAGUGUGAACUGUUCUAAAAAUAUUUGAGAAUCUGUAAUUAAACUCAGACCAAAGUUUCCAUUCUAUACUUAUACAAAUGCGUAAGAUUUGACAAAGUACAUGAUUUCGUCUACUAACCCAGAGGGGACUGGCGGGUAUAUAGCAGCACCUAUCCAAUUCCAGUUUAGAGGAAUGACAAUGUCUGAGAUUCUAGUGAAAAACAUUUCAUGGCAUUCAGUCCUCAAACCUUCUGGCAAAAUCUUCUGUUCCUUUACAAGAACGUCCUGCUUUCUCCUAUUGGAUUUGUAAGGAAUUUGCAUUGAAAUGAGGGAUGGUUUUUAAGGCCAUGUAUGCAUAUCCCGAUUGGCAAACCAUCCUUUAUUUAAUCAGUGACACCUCUUUAUAUCACGGGUGUCAGUGAACAAGGCAGACUCCCCACUCACUGUUGUGUGGGAGAACGUUGUCAGAGGCUUUCCCAGUACACAGCUAGAGCUCAGUGACACAGUCUGAUCUGCAUAACCUAAAU